This is a non-coding RNA of Chrysemys picta bellii (western painted turtle), 261 nucleotides long. The record is from RefSeq and is a predicted model, not a curated record. NCBI's taxonomy places the organism in Eukaryota, Metazoa, Chordata, Testudines, Emydidae.
UCUUCAGAUGCAUCUGUUAGUCUCAAAGGUGCCACAGGACCCUCUGUUGCUUUUUACUGAUUCAGACUAACACGGCUACCCCUCUGAUACUUUUUCAACAGAAACUCUCUUGAACGGCUGCUGGACUGCAAGAGGAGUGUGAUCUGUUUAGCAUGGAACCAGUAACUUUAAAUUGCAUUUCAUCACCAGGCCAAGGCCCAAACACACAUGGGGAAAAACAGAACAAGUAUGUGCCUGCAACACUUUAUCCUGUAGUAGAAG